UAUGGCCUUACCACCCUGAAAGUGCUCAAUCUUAUCUGAUCUCAGAAGCUAAGCAGGGUUGGGCCUGGUUAGUACUUAGAUGGGAGAAACUGGGUGAGCACCAGCUCCAAGCCAGGU
Molecule: ribosomal RNA, 117 nt
Organism: Chlorocebus sabaeus (green monkey)
Lineage: Eukaryota; Metazoa; Chordata; Mammalia; Primates; Cercopithecidae
Source: Ensembl